Molecule: ribosomal RNA, 547 nt
Filed under: uncultured archaeon
Lineage: Archaea
Description: bacterial SSU rRNA
Rfam family: Archaeal small subunit ribosomal RNA
Source: RNAcentral
GUCAGCAGCCGCGGUAACACCGGCGGCCCGAGUGGUGAUCGUGAUUAUUAGGGGUCUAAAGGGUCCCGUAGACCGGUUUGGUCAGUCCUCCGGGAAAUCUGAUAGCUCAACUAUAGGUUUCGGGGGAUACUGCCAGACUUGGAACCGGGAGAGGUAAGAGGUACUACAGGGGUAGGAGUGAAAGUCUUGGUAAUCCCUGUGGGACCACCUGUGGCGAAGGCGUCUUACCAGAACGGGUUCGACGGUGAGGGACGAAAGCUGGGGGCACGAACCGGGAUUAGAUACCCGGGUAGUCCCAGCCGUAAACGAUGCUCGCUAGGUGUCAGGCAUGGCGCGACCGUGUCUGGUGCCGCAGGGAAGCCGUGAAGCGAGCCACCUGGGAAGUACGGCCGCAAGGCUGAAACUUAAAGGAAUUGGCGGGGGAGCACAACAACGGGUUGGAGCCUGCGGUUUAAUUGGACUCAACGCCGGACAACUCACCGGGGGCGACAGCAAUAUGUAGGCCAAGCUGAAGACUUUGCCUGAAUCGCUGAGGGGAGGUGCAUGG